RNAcentral lists this ribosomal RNA (253 nucleotides) under uncultured bacterium. RNAcentral describes it as "partial 16S ribosomal RNA". It matches the Rfam family "Bacterial small subunit ribosomal RNA", at positions 526 to 779 of the family's 1533-position model. The record is from RNAcentral.
CGUAUGUCGCAAGCGUUAUCCGGAUUUAUUGGGCGUAAAGCGCGUCUAGGCGGUUUGGUAAGUCUGAUGUGAAAAUGCGGGGCUCAACUCCGUAUUGCGUUGGAAACUGCCAAACUAGAGUACUGGAGAGGUAGGCGGAACUACAAGUGUAGAGGUGAAAUUCGUAGAUAUUUGUAGGAAUACCGAUGGGGAAGCCAGCCUACUGGACAGAUACUGACGCUAAAGCGCGAAAGCGUGGGUAGCAAACAGGAUU